AUUGAACGCUGGCGGCAGGCCUAACACAUGCAAGUCGAGCGGAUGAACGGUGCUUGCUCGUGGUUUCCGCGGCGGACGGGUGUGUGAUGCCUAGGAAUCUCCCUGGCUUUGCGGGAUAACGUCCGCACGCGGGCGCUAAUACCGCCUACUUCCUGAUGGUGCACGUUGGGGAUCUUUGGACCUCACGCUCUUAUCUGAGUCUAGGUGGGGUUUGCUAGUUGGUUGGGUAAAGGGCUACCUAGGCGACGAUCCGUAGCUGGUCUGAGAGGAUGAUCAGCCGCACUGGAACGGAGACACGGUCCAGACGACUAAGGGAGGCAGCAGUGGGGAAUAGGGGGCAAUGGGCGGAAACCUGAACCAGCCAGGCCGAGUGUGUGAAAGAGGUCUUCGGAGUGGAAAGAACGUUAUGUUGGGAGAAACGGCAGUAAGUUGAGACCUAGCUGGAUUGACGGUAACAAGUAAAUAAGCACCGGCUAACUUCGUG
Molecule: ribosomal RNA, 484 nt
Filed under: uncultured bacterium
Lineage: Bacteria
Description: partial 16S ribosomal RNA
Rfam family: Bacterial small subunit ribosomal RNA
Source: RNAcentral